AUUGAACGCUGGCGGCAUGCCUUACACAUGCAAGUCGAACGGCAGCGCGGACUUCGGUCUGGCGGCGAGUGGCGAACGGGUGAGUAAUACAUCGGAACGUACCCUGUUGUGGGGGAUAACUAGUCGAAAGAUUAGCUAAUACCGCAUACGACCUGAGGGUGAAAGUGGGGGACCGCAAGGCCUCACGCAGCAGGAGCGGCCGAUGUCUGAUUAGCUAGUUGGUGGGGUAAAGGCCCACCAAGGCGACGAUCAGAAGCUAGUCUGAGAGGACGAUCAGCCACACUGGCACUGAUACACGGCCCAGCCUCCUACGGGAGGCAGCAGUGGGGAAUUUUGGACAAUGGGGGCAACCCUGAUCCAGCAAUGCCGCGUGUGUGAAGAAGGCCUUCGGGUUGUAAAGCACUUUUGUCCGGAAAGAAAUCGCGCUGGUUAAUACCUGGCGUGGAUGACGGUACCGGAAGAAUAAGCACCGGCUAACUACGUG
This 484-nucleotide ribosomal RNA is filed under the name uncultured bacterium. RNAcentral describes it as "partial 16S ribosomal RNA". It matches the Rfam family "Bacterial small subunit ribosomal RNA", at positions 30 to 507 of the family's 1533-position model. The record is from RNAcentral.